Molecule: ribosomal RNA, 292 nt
Filed under: uncultured Streptomyces sp.
Lineage: Bacteria; Bacillati; Actinomycetota; Actinomycetes; Kitasatosporales; Streptomycetaceae
Description: partial 16S ribosomal RNA
Rfam family: Bacterial small subunit ribosomal RNA
Source: RNAcentral
GUGUCAGCCGCCGUGGUAAUACGUAGGGCGCGAGCGUUGUCCGGAAUUAUUGGGCGUAAAGAGCUCGUAGGCGGCUUGUAGCGUCGGUUGUGAAAGCCCGGGGCUUAACCCCGGGUCUGCAGUCGAUACGGGCAGGCUAGAGUUCGGUAGGGGAGAUCGGAAUUCCUGGUGUAGCGGUGAAAUGCGCAGAUAUCAGGAGGAACACCGGUGGCGAAGGCGGAUCUCUGGGCCGAUACUGACGCUGAGGAGCGAAAGCGUGGGGAGCGAACAGGAUUAGAUACCCGUGUAGUCC